CCGAUGAGCUGGCGGACAGGCUUCAUCACAUGCAAGUCGAGCGGAGCGAGGGUGCUUGCACCUUAGCUUAGCGGCGGACGGGUGAGUAAUGCUUAGGAAUCUGCCUAUUAGUGGGGGACAACAUUCCGAAAGGAAUGCUAAUACCGCAUACGCCCUACGGGGGAAAGCAGGGGAUCUUCGGACCUUGCGCUAAUAGAUGAGCCUAAGUCGGAUUAGCUAGUUGGUGGGGUAAAGGCCUACCAAGGCGACGAUCUGUAGCGGGUCUGAGAGGAUGAUCCGCCACACUGGGACUGAGACACGGCCCAGACUCCUACGGGAGGCAGCAGUGGGGAAUAUUGGACAAUGGGCGGAAGCCUGAUCCAGCCAUGCCGCGUGUGUGAAGAAGGCCUUUUGGUUGUAAAGCACUUUAAGCGAGGAGGAGGCUACUGGUACUAAUACUACUGGAUAGUGGACGUUACUCGCAGAAUAAGCACCGGCUAACUCUGUGCCAGCAGCCGCGGUAAUACAGAGGGUGCGAGCGUUAAUCGGAUUUACUGGGCGUAAAGCGUGCGUAGGCGGCUGAUUAAGUCGGAUGUGAAAUCCCUGAGCUUAACUUAGGAAUUGCAUUCGAUACUGGUCAGCUAGAGUAUGGGAGAGGAUGGUAGAAUUCCAGGUGUAGCGGUGAAAUGCGUAGAGAUCUGGAGGAAUACCGAUGGCGAAGGCAGCCAUCUGGCCUAAUACUGACGCUGAGGUACGAAAGCAUGGGGAGCAAACAGGAUUAGAUACCCUGGUAGUCCAUGCCGUAAACGAUGUCUACUAGCCGUUGGGGCCUUUGAGGCUUUAGUGGCGCAGCUAACGCGAUAAGUAGACCGCCUGGGGAGUACGGUCGCAAGACUAAAACUCAAAUGAAUUGACGGGGGCCCGCACAAGCGGUGGAGCAUGUGGUUUAAUUCGAUGCAACGCGAAGAACCUUACCUGGUCUUGACAUAGUAAGAACUUUCCAGAGAUGGAUUGGUGCCUU
This 1000-nucleotide ribosomal RNA is filed under the name Acinetobacter junii. RNAcentral's name for it is "bacterial SSU rRNA". It matches the Rfam family "Bacterial small subunit ribosomal RNA", at positions 25 to 1020 of the family's 1533-position model. Lineage: Bacteria; Pseudomonadati; Pseudomonadota; Gammaproteobacteria; Moraxellales; Moraxellaceae. The record is from RNAcentral.